GGGUUGUGAGGUUAAGCGACUAAGCGUACACGGUGGAUGCCCUGGCAGUCAGAGGCGAUGAAGGACGUGCUAAUCUGCGAUAAGCGUCGGUAAGGUGAUAUGAACCGUUAUAACCGGCGAUUUCCGAAUGGGGAAACCCAGUGUGAUUCGUCACACUAUCAUUAACUGAAUCCAUAGGUUAAUGAGGCGAACCGGGGGAACUGAAACAUCUAAGUACCCCGAGGAAAAGAAAUCAACCGAGAUUCCCCCAGUAGCGGCGAGCGAACGGGGAGCAGCCCAGAGCCUGAAUCAGUGUGUGUGUUAGUGGAAGCGUCUGGAAAGGCGCGCGAUACAGGGUGACAGCCCCGUACACAAAAAUGCACAUACUGUGAGCUCGAUGAGUAGGGCGGGACACGUGGUAUCCUGUCUGAAUAUGGGGGGACCAUCCUCCAAGGCUAAAUACUCCUGACUGACCGAUAGUGAACCAGUACCGUGAGGGAAAGGCGAAAAGAACCCCGGCGAGGGGAGUGAAAAAGAACCUGAAACCGUGUACGUACAAGCAGUGGGAGCACAGAGCAAUCUGUGUGACUGCGUACCUUUUGUAUAAUGGGUCAGCGACUUAUAUUCUGUAGCAAGGUUAACCGAAUAGGGGAGCCGAAGGGAAACCGAGUCUUAACUGGGCGUUAAGUUGCAGGGUAUAGACCCGAAACCCGGUGAUCUAGCCAUGGGCAGGUUGAAGGUUGGGUAACACUAACUGGAGGACCGAACCGACUAAUGUUGAAAAAUUAGCGGAUGACUUGUGGCUGGGGGUGAAAGGCCAAUCAAACCGGGAGAUAGCUGGUUCUCCCCGAAAGCUAUUUAGGUAGCGCCUCGUGAAUUCAUCUCCGGGGGUAGAGCACUGUUUCGGCAAGGGGGUCAUCCCGACUUACCAACCCGAUGCAAACUGCGAAUACCGGAGAAUGUUAUCACGGGAGACACACGGCGGGUGCUAACGUCCGUCGUGAAGAGGGAAACAACCCAGACCGCCAGCUAAGGUCCCAAAGUCAUGGUUAAGUGGGAAACGAUGUGGGAAGGCCCAGACAGCCAGGAUGUUGGCUUAGAAGCAGCCAUCAUUUAAAGAAAGCGUAAUAGCUCACUGGUCGAGUCGGCCUGCGCGGAAGAUGUAACGGGGCUAAACCAUGCACCGAAGCUGCGGCAGCGACGCUNAUGCUGGAGGUAUCAGAAGUGCGAAUGCUGACAUAAGUAACGAUAAAGCGGGUGAAAAGCCCGCUCGCCGGAAGACCAAGGGUUCCUGUCCAACGUUAAUCGGGGCAGGGUGAGUCGACCCCUAAGGCGAGGCCGAAAGGCGUAGUCGAUGGGAAACAGGUUAAUAUUCCUGUACUUGGUGUUACUGCGAAGGGGGGACGGAGAAGGCUAUGUUGGCCGGGCGACGGUUGUCCCGGUUUAAGCGUGUAGGCUGGUUUUCCAGGCAAAUCCGGAAAAUCAAGGCUGAGGCGUGAUGACGAGGCACUACGGUGCUGAAGCAACAAAUGCCCUGCUUCCAGGAAAAGCCUCUAAGCAUCAGGUAACAUCAAAUCGUACCCCAAACCGACACAGGUGGUCAGGUAGAGAAUACCAAGGCGCUUGAGAGAACUCGGGUGAAGGAACUAGGCAAAAUGGUGCCGUAACUUCGGGAGAAGGCACGCUGAUAUGUAGGUGAAGUCCCUCGCGGAUGGAGCUGAAAUCAGUCGAAGAUACCAGCUGGCUGCAACUGUUUAUUAAAAACACAGCACUGUGCAAACACGAAAGUGGACGUAUACGGUGUGACGCCUGCCCGGUGCCGGAAGGUUAAUUGAUGGGGUUAGCGCAAGCGAAGCUCUUGAUCGAAGCCCCGGUAAACGGCGGCCGUAACUAUAACGGUCCUAAGGUAGCGAAAUUCCUUGUCGGGUAAGUUCCGACCUGCACGAAUGGCGUAAUGAUGGCCAGGCUGUCUCCACCCGAGACUCAGUGAAAUUGAACUCGCUGUGAAGAUGCAGUGUACCCGCGGCAAGACGGAAAGACCCCGUGAACCUUUACUAUAGCUUGACACUGAACAUUGAGCCUUGAUGUGUAGGAUAGGUGGGAGGCUUUGAAGUGUGGACGCCAGUCUGCAUGGAGCCGACCUUGAAAUACCACCCUUUAAUGUUUGAUGUUCUAACGUGGACCCGUAAUCCGGGUUGCGGACAGUGUCUGGUGGGUAGUUUGACUGGGGCGGUCUCCUCCUAAAGAGUAACGGAGGAGCACGAAGGUUGGCUAAUCCUGGUCGGACAUCAGGAGGUUAGUGCAAUGGCAUAAGCCAGCUUGACUGCGAGCGUGACGGCGCGAGCAGGUGCGAAAGCAGGUCAUAGUGAUCCGGUGGUUCUGAAUGGAAGGGCCAUCGCUCAACGGAUAAAAGGUACUCCGGGGAUAACAGGCUGAUACCGCCCAAGAGUUCAUAUCGACGGCGGUGUUUGGCACCUCGAUGUCGGCUCAUCACAUCCUGGGGCUGAAGUAGGUCCCAAGGGUAUGGCUGUUCGCCAUUUAAAGUGGUACGCGAGCUGGGUUUAGAACGUCGUGAGACAGUUCGGUCCCUAUCUGCCGUGGGCGCUGGAGAACUGAGGGGGGCUGCUCCUAGUACGAGAGGACCGGAGUGGACGCAUCACUGGUGUUCGGGUUGUCAUGCCAAUGGCACUGCCCGGUAGCUAAAUGCGGAAGAGAUAAGUGCUGAAAGCAUCUAAGCACGAAACUUGCCCCGAGAUGAGUUCUCCCUGACUCCUUGAGAGUCCUGAAGGAACGUUGAAGACGACGACGUUGAUAGGCCGGGUGUGUAAGCGCAGCGAUGCGUUGAGCUAACCGGUACUAAUGAACCGUGAGGCUUAACCUUACAACGCCGAAGGUGUUU
Molecule: ribosomal RNA, 2878 nt
Filed under: Escherichia coli
Lineage: Bacteria; Pseudomonadati; Pseudomonadota; Gammaproteobacteria; Enterobacterales; Enterobacteriaceae
Description: 23S ribosomal RNA
Rfam family: Bacterial large subunit ribosomal RNA
Source: RNAcentral